Molecule: ribosomal RNA, 118 nt
Filed under: Lepisosteus oculatus (spotted gar)
Lineage: Eukaryota; Metazoa; Chordata; Actinopteri; Semionotiformes; Lepisosteidae
Source: RNAcentral
GCCAGCAGCCAUAUCACCCUACAACUCCCAGCUGGCAGCCCACUGAAGCUCAGCAGGUGUGAGCCUGGUCAGUACCUGGAUGGGUGACUCCUGGGAAAAACUAAGGUUGCUGCUGGAA